Molecule: ribosomal RNA, 208 nt
Filed under: uncultured bacterium
Lineage: Bacteria
Description: partial 16S ribosomal RNA
Rfam family: Bacterial small subunit ribosomal RNA
Source: RNAcentral
CAUGCAGGCGGUUUAUCAAGUAGGAUGUGAAAGCCCCGGGCUCAACCUGGGAAUUGCAUUCUAAACUGAUAGACUAGAGUAUUGCAGGGGGAGACGGAAUUCCAGGUGUAGCGGUGGAAUGCGUAGAUAUCUGGAAGAACACCAAAGGCGAAGGCAGUCUCCUGGGCAAAUACUGACGCUCAUAUGCGAAAGCGUGGGUAAGCAAACA